AUACGUAGGGGGCGAGCGUUGUCCGGAAUGAUUGGGCGUAAAGGGCGCGUAGGCGGCCCGGUAAGUCUGGAGUGAAAGUCCUGUUUUUAAGAUGGGAAUUGCUUUGGAUACUGUCGGGCUUGAGUGCAGGAGAGGUAAGUGGAAUUCCCAGUGUAGCGGUGAAAUGCGUAGAGAUUGGGAGGAACACCAGUGGCGAAGGCGACUUACUGGACUGUAACUGACGCUGAGGCGCGAAAGUGUGGGGGGCAAACAGGAUUAGAUACCCUGGUAGUCCACACUGUAAACGAUGAAUGCUAGGUGUAGGGGGUAUCGACCCCUUCUGUGCCGCAGUCAACACAAUAAGUAAUCCACCUGGGGAGUACGGCCGCAAGGUUGAAACUCAAAUGAAUUGACGGGG
This 397-nucleotide ribosomal RNA is filed under the name uncultured bacterium. Its description in RNAcentral is "partial 16S ribosomal RNA". It matches the Rfam family "Bacterial small subunit ribosomal RNA", at positions 523 to 918 of the family's 1533-position model. The record is from RNAcentral.